This 497-nucleotide ribosomal RNA is filed under the name uncultured bacterium. Its description in RNAcentral is "partial 16S ribosomal RNA". It matches the Rfam family "Bacterial small subunit ribosomal RNA", at positions 28 to 507 of the family's 1533-position model. The record is from RNAcentral.
GAUGAACGCUGGCGGCGUGCCUAAUACAUGCAAGUCGAGCGAACGGACGAGAAGCUUGCUUCUCUGAUGUUAGCGGCGGACGGGUGAGUAACACGUGGAUAACCUACCUAUAAGACUGGGAUAACUUCGGGAACCCGUAGCUAAUACCGGAUAAUAUUUUGAACCGCAUGGUUCAAAAGUGAAAGACGGUCUUGCUGUCACUUAUAGAUGGAUCCGCGCUGCAUUAGCUAGUUGGUAAGGUAACGGCUUACCAAGGCAACGAUGCAUAGCCGACCUGAGAGGGUGAUCGGCCACACUGGAACUGAGACACGGUCCAGACUCCUACGGGAGGCAGCAGUAGGGAAUCUUCCGCAAUGGGCGAAAGCCUGACGGAGCAACGCCGCGUGAGUGAUGAAGGUCUUCGGAUCGUAAAACUCUGUUAUUAGGGAAGAACAUAUGUGUAAGUAACUGUGCACAUCUUGACGGUACCUAAUCAGAAAGCCACGGCUAACUACGUG